Molecule: long non-coding RNA, 251 nt
Filed under: Panax ginseng (ginseng)
Lineage: Eukaryota; Viridiplantae; Streptophyta; Magnoliopsida; Apiales; Araliaceae
Description: long non-coding RNA (PGIN_LNC010517)
Source: RNAcentral
UAAUAUCAUCAUUUAGGACUGAGGAUGAUGAAAAAUAUUUUAAAGAUGACAAGCAGUUUGAUUCACUUUCCAUAAUAUCAUGUAAUCUCCAAGAUAUACACGGUAGAGCACUAAGUUAUUGCCAUUUAUGAGACUUAGCAUUAAAUAAGAUGGUGGGAAAUCUUAUUACUUUCCUUAGAUUAUGCAGUUAUAUGUACCAUGAUUUAUGCCAAUUACUUUUCAACAGCGUACAUCUUUCUAACAACUUUUAA